This 141-nucleotide small nucleolar RNA is filed under the name Jaculus jaculus (lesser Egyptian jerboa). RNAcentral describes it as "Small nucleolar RNA SNORA73 family (ENSJJAG00000006262.1)". Lineage: Eukaryota; Metazoa; Chordata; Mammalia; Rodentia; Dipodidae. The record is from RNAcentral.
CCAGCAUGGGUAUUUCGGGAGGUCACUCUCCCCAAGCUCUGUCCGGGUGACUUAGUGAGCAUAGGGCUCUGCCCCCUGAGGCACACUCCCUUUGCACAAUGUGAAUCACAUCCCCACCAUAUACUCCUCAUCAUUAAAAAU